RNAcentral lists this long non-coding RNA (990 nucleotides) under Zostera marina. RNAcentral describes it as "long non-coding RNA (ZMAR_LNC005857)". Lineage: Eukaryota; Viridiplantae; Streptophyta; Magnoliopsida; Alismatales; Zosteraceae. The record is from RNAcentral.
UUUAUCUGAAACACGUUCAAUAUUAAUUAUGCAAUUAUGGAACUUUUAUUUUUAAUAUAAUUACCAAAUAGAUACCUGAUCCAUGAGACCAUAACCAACCCUACAUGGAAACUCUAUCCAUCAUAGAUCUCACAUGGUAUCAGAGAAAAUCAAGAAUCUCUUCGGUAAAAAGAAAUAGUAGCUGUUCAAAAGGGCGAAGAGAAGAAACAAACCCAUCGGAAAAUAAAGAAACUCCGGCCAUCUCCACAGCACGUCUCGCCCAACAAUCGGCUCCAAUAUCACCGUCGUCCUCCUAGCUACCAUCCCCGAAGCCCUGGACAUCUCCUAUUCCACAAAGGAAGAAGAAAUGGGGACGACUGGAUAUAUCUAUUUGAGAACGUCGGUGGAUUGAAAAGAAAGAAAGUCAGCGCGAGCUUCCGCGAAUCCUCUGCUCGAGAGAGUGUGUACGCCUCCGUUGUGAGAGCGAGCACGCAUCCGACAGAGAGACGCGAGCACGCCUUCCUUUCACUGAUUUCCUUUCACUGAUUUCCUUUCACCCCCGGUCAUCCGCGAGUGAGCUUCCUUUCCGCCCAACGAGAACUCCUCCUGCCGUCAAGACAGAUUUGGGUUGAUUCCGCAAGGGAUCCCCAAUUUGGGAUCGGCGAGUGGUGAGGGAUAUCGGCGAGUGGGAACACGAGAACUCCUCCAACCGCCAAGACAGAUUAGGGUUGAUUCCGCAAGGGAUCCCCAAUCUGGAAUCGGCGAGGGGCGAGGGGUAUCGGCGAGUAGGGGGGGUAUCGGCGAUUGCUGUGUGCUCAAAUAAACAACAUCUACGUUUAGAUUAAGUGCGUGUCAUUCAGAUAUAAUAUUGGAUAUUGGAUUAAGUGAAAUCUAAACUUAAGUAAACAACUUCUAUUAAGUGCGUGUCAUUUCACUUAUUGUGCAAUCAUUUACGACAGCGACUUAAGUGUGGAAUCGGUGACUGGUGAACUUAGUCAUUGUGGAAUCGGC